RNAcentral lists this ribosomal RNA (440 nucleotides) under uncultured bacterium. Its description in RNAcentral is "partial 16S ribosomal RNA". It matches the Rfam family "Bacterial small subunit ribosomal RNA", at positions 338 to 795 of the family's 1533-position model. The record is from RNAcentral.
CCUACGGGCGGCAGCAGUGGGGAAUAUUGGACAAUGGGGGAAACCCUUAUCCAGCGACGCCGCGUGAGGGAAGAAGGUUUUCGGAUUGUAAACCUCUGUCAGUGGGGACGAAAAUGAAGGUAACCACGGAGGAAGCCACCGCCAACUACGUGCCAGCAGCCGCGGUAAUACGUAGGUGGCAAGCGUUGUCCGGAAUUACUGGGUGUAAAGGGAGCGUAGGCGGGAUGGCAAGUCAGAAGGGAAAAUUAUGGGCUCAACUCUUUACCUGCUUUUGAAAAUGGUAUUCUUGAGUGACGUAGAGGCAAGCGGAAUUCCUAGGGUAGCGGUGAAAUGCGUAGAUAUUAGGAGGAACACCAGUGGCGAAGGCGGCUUACUGGGCUUUUACUGACGCUGAGGCUCGAAAGCGUGGGGAGCAAACAGGAUUAGAUACCCCUGUAGUC